GACGAACGCUGGCGGCGUGCUUAACACAUGCAAGUCGAACGGGAACCUUUAUUUCGGUAAAGGUGAGAGUGGCAAACGGGUGAGUAACACGUAGGCAACCUGCCGACAGGAUGGGGACAACAUUCCGAAAGGAAUGCUAAUACCGAAUGGAGUCCGAGGAUGGCAUCAUCCUUGGAUAAAAGAUGGCCUCUGAAUAUGCUAUCGCCUGUCGAUGGGCCUGCGUCUGAUUAGCCAGUUGGCGGGGUAACGGCCCACCAAAGCGACGAUCAGUAGCCGGUCUGAGAGGAUGAACGGCCACAUUGGGACUGAGACACGGCCCAGACUCCUACGGGAGGCAGCAGUGGGGAAUCUUCCACAAUGGGCGAAAGCCUGAUGGAGCAACGCCGCGUGAGUGAAGAAGGUCUUCGGAUCGUAAAGCUCUGUUGCACGGGACGAAAACUGGGUUUGAGAACAUUGAACCUGGGGACGUACCGAGCGAGAAGCCAC
This 486-nucleotide ribosomal RNA is filed under the name Selenomonas sputigena. RNAcentral describes it as "bacterial SSU rRNA". It matches the Rfam family "Bacterial small subunit ribosomal RNA", at positions 28 to 494 of the family's 1533-position model. Lineage: Bacteria; Bacillati; Bacillota; Negativicutes; Selenomonadales; Selenomonadaceae. The record is from RNAcentral.